GAUGAAGGUGCUUGCACUUCUGACCUUAGCGGCGAACGGGUGAGUAACACGUAAGGAAUCUACCUAUAANCGGGGGAUAACAUUCGGAAACGGGUGCUAAUACCGCAUAAUAUCUUCUUCCGCAUGGAAGAAGAUUGAAAGACGGCCCUGCUGUCACUUAUAGAUGACCUUGCGGUGCAUUAGUUAGUUGGUGGGGUAACGGCCUACCAAGACGAUGAUGCAUAGCCGACCUGAGAGGGUGAUCGGCCACAUUGGGACUGAGACACGGCCCAAACUCCUACGGGAGGCAGCAGUAGGGAAUCUUCCGCAAUGGGCGAAAGCCUGACGGAGCAAUGCCGCGUGAGUGAAGAAGGCCUUCGGGGUCGUAAAACUCUGUUAUAAGAGAAGAACAAAUUGUAGAGUAACUGCUACAGUCUUGACGGUAUCUUAUCAGAAAGCCACGGCUAACUACGUGCCAGCAGCCGCGGUAAUACGUAGGUGGCAAGCGUUGUCCGGAUUUAUUGGGGCGUAAGGGAGCGCANGUGGNUUUCUUAAGUCUGAUGUGAAAGCCCCCGGCUUAACCGGGGAGGGUCAUUGGNAACUGGGGAAACCUUGAAGUCCAGAGAGGAUGUGGAACUCCAUGUGU
Molecule: ribosomal RNA, 625 nt
Filed under: uncultured Aerococcus sp.
Lineage: Bacteria; Bacillati; Bacillota; Bacilli; Lactobacillales; Aerococcaceae
Description: bacterial SSU rRNA
Rfam family: Bacterial small subunit ribosomal RNA
Source: RNAcentral